GACGAACGCUGGCGGCGUGCUUAACACAUGCAAGUCGAACGGAAAGGCCCUGCUUUUGUGGGGUGCUCGAGUGGCGAACGGGUGAGUAACACGUGAGUAACCUGCCCUUGACUUUGGGAUAACUUCAGGAAACUGGGGCUAAUACCGGAUAGGAGCUCCUGCUGCAUGGUGGGGGUUGGAAAGUUUCGGCGGUUGGGGAUGGACUCGCGGCUUAUCAGCUUGUUGGUGGGGUAGUGGCUUACCAAGGCUUUGACGGGUAGCCGGCCUGAGAGGGUGACCGGCCACAUUGGGACUGAGAUACGGCCCAGACUCCUACGGGAGGCAGCAGUGGGGAAUAUUGCACAAGGGGCGGAAGCCUGAUGCAGCAACGCCGCGUGCGGGAUGACGGCCUUCGGGUUGUAAACCGCUUUCGCCUGUGACGAAGCGUGAGGGACGGUAAUGGUAAAGAAGCACCGGCUAACUACGUG
This 467-nucleotide ribosomal RNA is filed under the name uncultured bacterium. RNAcentral's name for it is "partial 16S ribosomal RNA". It matches the Rfam family "Bacterial small subunit ribosomal RNA", at positions 28 to 507 of the family's 1533-position model. The record is from RNAcentral.